AUCAAUUUCCAACUACUUGACACUAAUUAUCUGUAGUACAUUUAUUUAAUUAUUUGAGAGGUAGGUAGCAUGCUAUUUACUUCGGUUAUUUCAUUUAAAAAUAAACUUAGCUGAAAAUAUAAAUCAAUUAGGAUUUGAACUUGAAAUCUCGGAUAUCAACCACCAAGCCUCUUACCACUUGCGCUAGGAACAGUUGAUACUAUCAAUUUAAAUAUUGAUUCAAAUUAAAUAUA
This 233-nucleotide long non-coding RNA is filed under the name Ananas comosus (pineapple). RNAcentral describes it as "long non-coding RNA (ACOM_LNC037203)". The record is from RNAcentral. Lineage: Eukaryota; Viridiplantae; Streptophyta; Magnoliopsida; Poales; Bromeliaceae.